GGAGGGCUCGCAUAGUGGCCUAGUGCGGCGGUCUUGAAAACCGCUACCGAGGGACCCCUCUCGGUCAUGGGUUCGAAUCCCAUGCCCUCCGCCC
RNAcentral lists this transfer RNA (94 nucleotides) under Actinopolymorpha singaporensis. RNAcentral describes it as "tRNA_Ser_TGA". It matches the Rfam family "tRNA". Rfam says of the family: Transfer RNA (tRNA) molecules are approximately 80 nucleotides in length. Their secondary structure includes four short double-helical elements and three loops (D, anti-codon, and T loops). Lineage: Bacteria; Bacillati; Actinomycetota; Actinomycetes; Propionibacteriales; Actinopolymorphaceae. The record is from RNAcentral.